CCUACGGGGGGCAGCAGUGGGGAAUAUUGGACAAUGGGCGCAAGCCUGAAACAGCCAUACCGCGUGGGUGAAGAAGGCCUUCGGGUUGUAAAGCCCUUUUGUUGGGAAAGAAAUCCAGCCGGCUAAUACCUGGUUGGGAUGACGGUACCCAAAGAAUAAGCACCGGCUAACCUCGUGCCAGCAGCCGCGGUAAUACGAAGGGUGCAAGCGUUACUCGGAAUUACUGGGCGUAAAGCGUGCGUAGGUGGUUAUUUAAGUCCGUUGUGAAAGCCCUGGGCUCAACCUGGGAACUGCAGUGGAUACUGGAUGACUAGAAUGUGGUAGAGGGUAGCGGAAUUCCUGGUGUAGCAGUGAAAUGCGUACAGAUCAGGAGGAACAUCCAUGGCGAAGGCAGCUACCUGGACCAACAUUGACACUGAGGCACGAAAGCGUGGGGAGCAAACAGGAUUAGAUACCCUGGUAGUCCACGCCCUAAACGAUGCGAACUGGAUGGUGGGGUGCAAUUUUGGCACGCAGUAUCGAAAGCUAACGCGUUAAGUUCGCCCGCCUGGGGGAGUACGGUCGCAGGACUGAAACUCAAAGGAAAUUGACCGGGGGCCCCCCACAAGCGGGGGGAG
Molecule: ribosomal RNA, 617 nt
Filed under: uncultured bacterium
Lineage: Bacteria
Description: bacterial SSU rRNA
Rfam family: Bacterial small subunit ribosomal RNA
Source: RNAcentral